CAGGGAGACAACAAAAUGUUUAAUAUUAUUAUUUUGUCACCUUAGGUCGAUCGGUAUCUCACGUUUUUGAUUUAUUAAAAAUUUCAUUUCCUAAGUUUUUCUAGGUCACACCCAUUAUUUUUCCUGGGCCAUUAGCUCAGGUGGUUAGAGCGCACCCCUGAUAAGGGUGAGGUCCCUGGUUCAAGUCCAGGAUGGCCCAUAUCUCUAUGUUGGGGGUAUAGCUCAGUUGGUAGAGCGCCUGCUUUGCAAGCAGGAUGUCAGCGGUUCGAGUCCGCUUACCUCCACUGAUUACCACCUCUUCCAUAAUCGGUAGAAAGGAAAUUUUUUGAGUUGUGAUCAAAUUCUGAAAGAAUCUAGCUUCCUAAUGAAAUCAUUAAGAUGCUGGACUCAUUGAAUUAAUUUCAUUGUUUUCAGAGAACCUUGACAACUGCAUAGAUUAUUUUUAAAGACAAUAAGCAUCUUUAAUGAUGCAGAUUUAUUAUUUGUGCAAAUGCAUUAAUAACAAUUCUAUUAAGCUGAUGCUUCAAUAUUUGAAGUUAUU
Molecule: transfer RNA, 541 nt
Filed under: uncultured cyanobacterium
Lineage: Bacteria; Bacillati; Cyanobacteriota
Description: partial 16S-23S ribosomal RNA intergenic spacer
Rfam family: tRNA (bases 212-284)
Source: RNAcentral